Molecule: long non-coding RNA, 1980 nt
Organism: Nomascus leucogenys (northern white-cheeked gibbon)
Lineage: Eukaryota; Metazoa; Chordata; Mammalia; Primates; Hylobatidae
Exons: 3
Source: RefSeq, a predicted model, not a curated record
GUGCAUUUGAGCUAAAGCAAGGGAAGCAUUUCCCCUUCCCCUGGCUGAAAGCUCAGCUGACCCCAAGGCUCUUCUGGUCAUGCUUAGCCCUCACCAGAGGCUGAGCAGAUGCUGAGGCCAUGCUUCUUGAUUUUCCCAGCCAACAGAUCUGAUGUCGCUAUCAAUGACGCUUCGACUGAGUUACAGCCAAACCAGGAUACUCAGGGACUUGGAACCUGUUACCAGACUUCCAUUUAGUACAGACACAGCGCCAGGGGGCUGAGCAUUCUUCAGCAACACCCUCUGGACCCCUUCUCUACACCAUCAUGCUGUAUGAGCAGAAGGGUUGGGGACAUGAAGGAGCAGCUCAGCUAAGGUGACCCAGAUGGUUGGGCUCAGCGCUGGAAGAACAUCGUGGUCUCCUGACUCCCCAAUUCCUGCAUCUGUCCCGCUUGUAAGAGGCUUGCCAAGAACAGGAGCUUUUGUUUGCAGGUCUCUAGGGAUGGCCACCGCAGGGAGUGUGAUUUGAAGAUGGGGUCGGGGUGACAUUACAGUCCCCCUUUAGGCUCUGCUGGGUUGCAGGCCAGCUCUCCGGGCUGCCUUUCUGGUGGCUAUUUUAAAGGCAGAUAGGAUGAAAUUAGCAACUUUUAUCAUUAAACUAGCAAAGGCUCAGGAGGGGCAGCCCCCUUCUGGGAAUGUGCCUAGCUCCUGCUCCAGAAUGGAGGAGUCUCUGUGGCUGUAGGGGAGCUGGCCUUCUAUGGAGUCUGAGCAAUGUACUGCACAGGGAGGAGAAGACGCUGCCAGAAGAUACCAGUGUCUCUAUCCAGAGAUGUUUCCAGGACACCACGUUAAGCAGCAGAGACACUAGAAGCCAAGGCCCAUAUGGUCUGGUGUGGAUGUGUGCCUCCUGUGCCUCAGUGGCAUCAUCUGUACCAUGGGAGGUGUGUAAUGAGGGGUGCGAUCACGUCUGUGAGGGCACAUACAUAGUAGAUGCCCAGGAAGUGCCAGACCCCAUCUCCUUCCCAGUUUCUUUAGAGCCUUCUGGAAGGCAUGGCAUAGCCCAGUCCUGAGGCACUGCUUUUUCUUUCAUGGAUGAUCAGGAGCUUCUGUGAUUUCUUCCCCCUCACUCUUCAUUUUGCCAAGAUGUUGCCCAUAGUAACCUCAGCAGUGGAGCGAGGAUUCUGUACUGUUCCACUGCCCUGGGGCUGCACAUCCACGUGAGCGAGGCUGACCCGUCCCAGAGCACUUUGCCCUCGGAAGGCAGCGUCGCCUGCAGGAGCAGUGCCAUGGACAGCUCUGGCGUGUCCUCCAGGGCCCUGGCAUGGUCAGUGAGAAGAGGCCCCUGGGGCGUGGGCUUCUCCCAUCAGUCAGGUUCAGAAGGCUUCCUGGGGUGGGUAGAGACGCUCCCUACCCAACCGAGUUAUUGAAAUGACAGGAGGGGGAAGGGAAGGUCUGGGCAUGUGGCACUGUGAUUUUUUUUUUCUUUCUUUCUUUCUUUUUUGGAGACUCAUUGGGGUAGAAAUGAGGACAGGAAGAAGUACAAUCCGUCUGGGAUUGGUUUAUUUUUAUUGCUUUUUAAAAUCAUGUGACUAAUUGGUGUUCAUUGAAAAAGGGAAAACAAAAAUAAGACAAGAGAAGACAGCAAAAAUAAUCUGUUAACAUCUUGGCAAAUAUCCUUUUUCUCUGCAUAGAAACAGAGAAUACUUUUGUUUCACUUAUAAAAUGUUUCUUACUGUACACAGCUUUAUAACCUGCUUUUUUCUUAAUGGGACCAUAUACUAGGACAUGUUUUCAGGCCAACAGAUAAAUAUACUUCACUUGCAUUGAUGCUAUUGGCUCAGUGGUGUUCUGGUGGUUGGUAAUUUACCCUGUCAUUCUGUCUCCCUUUACUCAGUGGCAAAAAUGACCUGGGCACCUGCACCUGGGCCUGGGCUGGACAUUGGUCCUUGGCAGAUGGGGAAGGUUGGUGACCAGCAAGGCACAGAAUAAGGACACACGGUC